Long non-coding RNA from Salvelinus fontinalis (brook trout), 2156 nucleotides. RefSeq lists it as uncharacterized. The transcript has 3 exons. The record is from RefSeq and is a predicted model, not a curated record. NCBI's taxonomy places the organism in Eukaryota, Metazoa, Chordata, Actinopteri, Salmoniformes, Salmonidae.
UAGGCCGUCAUUGUAAAUAAGAAUUUUACUUGCCUAGUUAAAUAAAGGGUUAAAUAAAUAAGGAAAUAAAAAAAUCAUUGAUUUUAUCACAUUGAUCCUAUUCCAAUUCUCUGCACCUUUUUUUUUCCCCCCGAGCCUGUUCUUAGUUCACAGCUGCAGCAAACAGCCCAGCAAAAUGAGCCAGCAUCAGUCCAGCAAAAUGAGCCAGCAACUGGCCAACAACAGGACAGCAACAGGACAUAUAAAUCAGCCAAAGAGUCUGAACAUUUGUGUUUAGACUUCGAAUUUCCAGACGUAUUAAAAUAAAAACUUUUCCAAAAAUGUGACGAUCUCGCCCUACUGUGCGCUCAAAGUGGAGGCCUCAGAUUGUGCAGGUGUUGUUCGACUUCAUAUGUACUUACACUUGGUGAGUAUAGUUAUGUAGUUACCUGAUCUUAGCUUAAUGUUAAUGACAUACGUUCCUCAGUUAUGAGUCAUAAUGCUUGUGUGUUUAUCAUCCUGAGCCUUGUCUCCGUCCACCAUACUGUCUCGUCAUAAUCACUGCAGCUGAUCGCUUAGCACACUCAACUUUUACAUGAUGCUAAUCAACGCCUUCCAUCAAUGUCAUUUGUAUUACAAACAGAAUUGUUAGUCUCAAUGUAAUCUUGUAUGUUUCUCUUUUGCUUUAGGUACUCCACUACCCGGCAAUACAUGGAUGUGUGCACAGCGCUCAUUCAAAAGUACCCCUCGUUAAAAUACCACACAGGGAAGGGAUAUGUAAGAAUUCUUCAAAUGUCCUACUCACGUUAAUUCACACACUAAUAACCUUUUUACAUCCUUGUGCCAACCCAGACCAUAAUGUGCUGGCUUGGAUAGACCAUCUCAAAUCUGCUCUUCUGACCUCCGUCGAAAUAAUCCGUCAUGACAUUUCUCCUCUCCACAUUACAUUUUUUUAAGGAGUCAUGGCCUGAUAAAGAAUAAAUGCAAAAAAGAAAGGCAGCCACUUGCUCACGUUGCACAAGUACAGGAAAUGCAGAAGAGGUUUGGGAGGCAAGGGGAGAAAAAAAGUCCAGAUGACACCGAAAAUGAAGCCCCGACCAAAAUAGCCAAGGUAUCUGUAUACAAAUAAUGGCCCAUAUUCAGUCGAACCGCUGAUCCCAGAUCAUUUUUUAAGAUCAUAAAUAAUAUUGUAAAGGUGGGGGGACCUGAUCCUAGAUCAGAACUCAGAUGCUUUGUGAAUACGUUUAGCCUUUAUCUAUAAACUUUGCGUUUCACAUCGCAUGUAUCAAUAUUCUAUAUUUACAUGAGAUUUUUUUUCAUUUCGAGACUGGUGAGGAUUCCUUCAGUCAGAAGUUACACGUUGAAAAGAUGCAGGAGUGCCAAAAAAAGAGCAAACAUAUGUUCUCUACAAUACAAAAUGAAAAGGACUGAAAAAGGAAACUUUAUAUAAAACAAAGGCACCAAGGACAUCUUAAAACAGUAGCCAGCACUCCAUUUGUCAGCCAUUGUAAAGUCUAAUAGAAAUAAAUGGUAAAAAGCACAACUAAUGUAGCAUAGCCAAGUACUGUAAUCUGAAUCCAAGAUACAUUGAUGAUGCAUUAUAAACAAACUGACUUUCAGGUUCUCAGAGAUAAGAAGCAAAUUCAGUAUGGAUGUGGACAGGAACAUUCUGUCCAGAUUCGGGCAAAAUGGCCCACAAAAUCAUUGCAGAAACGGAGAGGGGUGUGGCCGUGGAGUUGCUGAAUCUCUACAAGAUGGCACUUCUCUCACACACGGAGGAGGCUCACAAAGGUCUGAAGGUCACUGCAGCCGUUUUGCUCCUCCCCUACCUCUUCAAAGAAAAUCCGAGUGGGCUGUACAUCUCAGACCAGUGUGUAAAGUUCCCAUCAUCUACCAUAAGAAUAGAGGGAAAAACUCUUUGCGGAUGAGAGCCACAUCCAACUCUUCCUGGAUGGAGAGGAGCUACUUACUGAAGAGCCGGUGGACAUCUCCAUGGGGAUGCAUUUCCCUUCUAAUAUUGAGUAUGCAGCAUCAGUGAAAAGAACAAUGCUGUUCAUUCCGACAUCUUCUGGGAAUUGAUGAGGGGAUAAAUGAUCAACAAAUAUUGAAUGUAUGAAUGGCAAACUUUUUGCUGUAGUGCGAGAUAGGGGAGACCAGAGAUUCCUGUGAUGUCUGCA